GGUCUCAGGCAGCUUUGCUGGGAGUGUCCACAUCACCCUGACCCCCGUGAGGCCUGACAGGACCCCACGCCCAGCCAGCCCAGGACCCAGCCUCCCAGCCAGGGGCAGCUGGUGACCGUGUGGUCAUGGUGGGGACCAGCCCUCCGGGGCACCCAGUCGGGGCAGGUUCUCACGUGGGAGGGCACAGGGCUUCCUGCAGGCUCGGAGGCCCAGGGCGGAUUGUGGCCAGUGGAAGGGAAGGAUGUUUCUGGCAGGGGGACUUGUGUGGGCCACGGCUGUGCGGCUGCGGCGUUGAGCACGGCCUCACUGUCCACCUGUCCCCUAGGCCUCCAGAGGAAGAAGUCCAAGUUCCGCUUGUCCAAGAUCUGGUCACCAAAAAGCAAAAGCAGCCCCUCCCAGUAGUAGCCAGUAGGGCCGUGGGCUCGGCCCGGACCUGGCAUCCGGACUUGGACUCGGGGCCAUGGGCUUGGCCCGGACCCGGAACCCGGACUUGUACUCGGGGCCGUGGGCUCGGCCCGGACCCGGCAUUCGGACUUGGACUCGGGAAGGGCCUCCUGUCCCUACAAGGGGCAUGUGGACAGCAGGGACCUGCGCUACCGUCUGUGGUCUCAAUAAAGAAACCGACCACAUGGCCCCGGA
RNAcentral lists this long non-coding RNA (639 nucleotides) under Homo sapiens (human). Its description in RNAcentral is "non-protein coding lnc-MICALL2-1:4". The record is from RNAcentral. Lineage: Eukaryota; Metazoa; Chordata; Mammalia; Primates; Hominidae.